RNAcentral lists this long non-coding RNA (228 nucleotides) under Capsicum annuum. RNAcentral describes it as "long non-coding RNA (CANN_LNC008474)". The record is from RNAcentral. Lineage: Eukaryota; Viridiplantae; Streptophyta; Magnoliopsida; Solanales; Solanaceae.
GUGGAUAGCAGGUCUGUAAAGGGUAAAAAAAGGAUGUAUUUAGAUAUUAGAGUCGGUUUCAUGAAUCAUGCCUAGGUUCUCCUUUAGAUUUAAUGGAUUUUUGCUUAGUAAUGCUGGUAUAGGCAUAGUAUUAGUGUGUUUAGAAUUACGUGCAUUAGCCUUCUCGAUUAAAUUAGAGGUUAGUUGGUUGUUGUGGUUGAGUUUUGGAAGUUUAAGGAGUGAAGUAAG